Molecule: ribosomal RNA, 565 nt
Filed under: uncultured bacterium
Lineage: Bacteria
Description: partial 16S ribosomal RNA
Rfam family: Bacterial small subunit ribosomal RNA
Source: RNAcentral
UGGGGAAUUUUGGACAAUGGGGGAAACCCUGAUCCAGCCAUCCCGCGUGUGCGAUGAAGGCCUUCGGGUUGUAAAGCACUUUUGGCAGGAAAGAAACGUCGUGGGUUAAUACCCCGCGAAACUGACGGUACCUGCAGAAUAAGCACCGGCUAACUACGUGCCAGCAGCCGCGGUAAUACGUAGGGUGCAAGCGUUAAUCGGAAUUACUGGGCGUAAAGCGUGCGCAGGCGGUUCGGAAAGAAAGAUGUGAAAUCCCAGAGCUUAACUUUGGAACUGCAUUUUUAACUACCGGGCUAGAGUGUGUCAGAGGGAGGUGGAAUUCCGCGUGUAGCAGUGAAAUGCGUAGAUAUGCGGAGGAACACCGAUGGCGAAGGCAGCCUCCUGGGAUAACACUGACGCUCAUGCACGAAAGCGUGGGGAGCAAACAGGAUUAGAUACCCUGGUAGUCCACGCCCUAAAACGAUGUCAACUAGCUGUUGGGGUCUUCGGACCUUGGUAGCGCAGCUAACGCGUGAAGUUGACCGCCUGGGGAGUACGGUCGCAAGAUUAAAACUCAAAUGAAUUG